This 314-nucleotide long non-coding RNA is filed under the name Cricetulus griseus (Chinese hamster). Its description in RNAcentral is "lncRNA (ENSCGRG00000025159.1)". Lineage: Eukaryota; Metazoa; Chordata; Mammalia; Rodentia; Cricetidae. The record is from RNAcentral.
CAAGUACAAUGUGGGCCUGUGAUAAGCAAAGACACUUCUCUGAAAUCCCCCUCGUUUCUCUGUGUGCUGAGGCUGCUGAAAGGCACUAUGACUUCGGGCACCAGAUGAGACCCUGCAGGUUAAAUCAGCUGAUGCUGCUUCGUGAGAAACCACCCUGACAUCUGCCUGGGUCUGAAUCACACAUCCUGGAGGUCUUUCACAGAUGGGAUCUGUGCACACGUUUGUCACCUGGUGAUGUUGCAUAGAUUCUGUCACUGAUGCCUGCACUGGUACCUAGGCUGGGAUCACAGCUGAGAUCAGUGCUGUCAUCACAG